CUUCAACGACCCCAGCCACAGCGGUGCGCUCUCCCCGCGAUUCUGCCCAUAGGUCGCCAACAGUGCCUGGGCCUC
Molecule: non-coding RNA, 75 nt
Rfam family: ASpks TB sRNA
Source: Rfam